UACACGCUAUCAGCUCAUAGCGUAUGUUAAAGUUGUUGCAGUUAAAAAGCUCGUAGUUGAACCUUGGGUCUGGCUGGCCGGUCCGCCUCACCGCGAGUACUGGUCCGGCUGGACCUUUCCUUCUGGGGAAUCUCAUGGCCUUCACUGGCUGUGGGGGGAACCAGGACUUUUACUGUGAAAAAAUUAGAGUGUUUAAAGCAGGCAAU
RNAcentral lists this ribosomal RNA (206 nucleotides) under uncultured fungus. RNAcentral's name for it is "partial small subunit ribosomal RNA". It matches the Rfam family "Eukaryotic small subunit ribosomal RNA", at positions 571 to 788 of the family's 1831-position model. The record is from RNAcentral. Lineage: Eukaryota; Fungi.